UGGUGACCUCGAGGAGUGGGAAAGUCACACUUGCCCAGGCUUAUGCAGCUGUUAUGUGGUAGAGCCAGAACUAAAACCCACAGCCAUACAAUUUUAAAGCCUGAGAUAUUUCCGGAAUACCAUGCUGCCCCCUUUCCCAAUGAGAGCGCUUUCUCACCACGGUGUCCAUUUGCAGGGUCAGAAGUUUCUCCACUCACCCUGGUCUCCUCAGGCCCGAGGGUAUCCAACUGUGUGCUGGUGGCCUGUGCGGAGAGGGCCCAGGGACAAGCAAACCUUUGCAGACGAUGCUGGACUGUUAUACUCAAUAUAGAGAGGGGGUGCCCAUCAGAAGAGGGAGAGAGAAAGAACACGGCGGAGGGAGAAGAGACCUCCUGUUUGCAUUUGUCCAUGUUUGCAUCUGCCUUGGUCUCCAGCCUUGACUUUAGGAGACGAUACAGCAGGAUGUAAUCAAGUCCCACUUGGGGCGGCAAGUUUCCAGGGAGCCUCAUUGAAGUAUCAUCUCAGUGACUUUUUCAACUUUCAUUUAUCAUUUUCCAAAACAACAUAAGGCCUUGGCACCCAGCUCGCCUUCUCUGGAGCAUCCCGCCCCGCCUGCCUUCUGUAGAAAAACGUGAAGUAUAGCAUCUGGCAAAAUGCUUCCUGCAGAGCAGAGCACGCCCAGCUCCAGCCUGAGCCGCAGCAGAGGGGAACCGAGGCUCGGAAUGCUAGGCCAGGGCUGUCAGGAUGAAUUAUGCUGCCCUGAAGCGCCCCCUGAAUUCAGAGAGAGAUGAGGAAACCAAACUCAAGAGAGGGGAAGUAAUUUACCCUGUGUCACACAGCUGGUCCAACAGGCUCGCCUUGCUUAUCCCAACGGCCAUUUCUCCCCAUCCGUAGCACACAAAUCUUCCAGGACCUGGUGGGGGACUGGCGGGGCCGUGCAGAGUUACAGGAUGAACACCAGCCAUCAACCUGGGGCAUCCUUUUCACUUGCUGGGGAGUAAUUUAAACAUUAUUUGAUGUCAAAAAUAUCUGCAAUAAAAUAAACCCAGAUGUUGCAUAUUACGGAGUGGAAUUUUAAGAUUGCAUAAAUUUUAAAGAUGAAAUGCAAGUCUUCAAAUCCAUUUUGCACCACAGGAGGGCUCUUCGGGCUGUGCUCCAGGCCUCCCAGCUGGCACCAUUCAGGCCCCUGUGCCAUGAGGGCUACUUGGAGAGAAAAAUGUUCUUUCGUAUUGCAGUUUCUUACUGAACAGUUCAUGUCCUUCCCCUCCUAAGAGUUGGGCCUGGCACGUGGCAGGUCCCUGACUGAUGUCCUUGGCUGAAUGAUGUGUUCUCGAUGAGCUGAUUCCCCUUGUAACAUCUUCAGUUCCCUAGGGACCUUAGCUGCCAGCCCUAAAGAAAAGCAUAACAGUAGACAUCCAGUCGCUGCGUCAAGUAGGAGGGUUUACACUGUGUGAGCGGAGAGGAGAGGAUUCCACGUCCCUCAGCAACUCGACUCCGUAUAACCCAGAGUUG
RNAcentral lists this long non-coding RNA (1491 nucleotides) under Equus caballus (horse). RNAcentral describes it as "lncRNA (ENSECAG00000047491.1)". Lineage: Eukaryota; Metazoa; Chordata; Mammalia; Perissodactyla; Equidae. The record is from RNAcentral.